UACAUCGGAAUCUACUCUGUCGUGGGGGAGUAACGUAGGGAAACUUACGCUAAUACCGCAUACGACCUACGGGUGAAAGCAGGGGAUCUUCGGACCUUGCGCGAUUGAAUGAGCCGAUGUCGGAUUAGCUAGUUGGCGGGGUAAAGGCCCACCAAGGCGACGAUCCGUAGCUGGUCUGAGAGGAUGAUCAGCCACACUGGAACUGAGACACGGUCCAGACUCCUACGGGAGGCAGCAGCC
RNAcentral lists this ribosomal RNA (240 nucleotides) under uncultured Stenotrophomonas sp. Its description in RNAcentral is "partial 16S ribosomal RNA". It matches the Rfam family "Bacterial small subunit ribosomal RNA", at positions 114 to 355 of the family's 1533-position model. The record is from RNAcentral. Lineage: Bacteria; Pseudomonadati; Pseudomonadota; Gammaproteobacteria; Lysobacterales; Lysobacteraceae.